AGUGAACGCUGGCGGUAGGCCUAACACAUGCAAGUCGAACGGCAGCACAGUAAGAGCUUGCUCUUACGGGUAGCGAGUGGCGGACGGGUGAGGAAUACAUCGCAAUCUACUUUUUCGGGGGGGAUAACGUAGGGAAACUUACGCUAAUACCGCAUACGACCUACGGGUGAAAGCAGAGGAUCUUCGGACCUUUCGCGAUUGAAUGAGCUGGUGUCGAUUUAGCUAGUUGGUGGGGUAAAGGCCCACCAAGGCGACGAUCCGUAGCCGGCCUGAGAGGAUGAUCAGCCACACUGGAACUGAGACACGGUCCAGACUCCUACGGGAGGCAGCAGUUGGGAAUAUUGGACAAUGGGCGCAAGCCUGAUCCAGCCAUACCGCGUGGGUGAAGAAGGCCUUCGGGUUGUAAAGCCCUUUUGUUGGGAAAGAAAAGCAGCAGGUUAAUACCCCGCUGUUCUGACGGUACCCAAAGAAUAAGCACCGGCUAACUUCGUG
Molecule: ribosomal RNA, 492 nt
Filed under: uncultured bacterium
Lineage: Bacteria
Description: partial 16S ribosomal RNA
Rfam family: Bacterial small subunit ribosomal RNA
Source: RNAcentral